UCCUCCGUCUCAUAUUGCUGUCAUGUC
This 27-nucleotide non-coding RNA is filed under the name Homo sapiens (human). The record is from RNAcentral. Lineage: Eukaryota; Metazoa; Chordata; Mammalia; Primates; Hominidae.